UAUACCAUGCUGAAUAUACCGGUUCUCGUUAGAUCACCGAAGUCAAGCAUCAUUGGGCGCGGUCAGUACUUGGGUGGGUGACCACCUGGGAACACCGCGUGCCGUU
RNAcentral lists this ribosomal RNA (106 nucleotides) under Caerostris darwini. The record is from RNAcentral. Lineage: Eukaryota; Metazoa; Arthropoda; Arachnida; Araneae; Araneidae.